This 364-nucleotide ribosomal RNA is filed under the name Escherichia coli. RNAcentral's name for it is "partial 23S ribosomal RNA". It matches the Rfam family "Bacterial large subunit ribosomal RNA", at positions 165 to 567 of the family's 2925-position model. Lineage: Bacteria; Pseudomonadati; Pseudomonadota; Gammaproteobacteria; Enterobacterales; Enterobacteriaceae. The record is from RNAcentral.
CAUAGGUUAAUGAGGCGAACCGGGGGAACUGAAACAUCUAAGUACCCCGAGGAAAAGAAAUCAACCGAGAUUCCCCCAGUAGCGGCGAGCGAACGGGGAGGAGCCCAGAGCCUGAAUCAGUGUGUGUGUUAGUGGAAGCGUCUGGAAAGGCGCGCGAUACAGGGUGACAGCCCCGUACACAAAAAUGCACAUAUUGUGAGCUCGAUGAGUAGGGCGGGACACGUGGUAUCCUGUCUGAAUAUGGGGGGACCAUCCUCCAAGGCUAAAUACUCCUGACUGACCGAUAGUGAACCAGUACCGUGAGGGAAAGGCGAAAAGAACCCCGGCGAGGGGAGUGAAAAAGAACCUGAAACCGUGUACGUAC